Myodes glareolus (Bank vole) is the source of this 698-nucleotide non-coding RNA. The record is from RefSeq and is a predicted model, not a curated record. NCBI's taxonomy places the organism in Eukaryota, Metazoa, Chordata, Mammalia, Rodentia, Cricetidae.
GAAAGCGUGUAUACUGGGGACGAAUAGUCUCUACAACAGCUUAAGAUUGGACUCUGGCUCCGCAUGUAGCAGGAUAUGUACACAAAACAGUAAGAUGGAAGCUGGCCAGGACUUCUCUUCCUAAGGAAAGUGCUUGGGAGAGGCAGAGCGUGCGCUAGCUUCACACCUGCAAACACAGCUCUGUCCUCCCGCGGGUAGGUGCUGGCAACUAGGUGAUGCUCCUGGAAGAGACCUCUGUGAUAAAGCACGGCCCAUUCCAUGCGCUCCUUCAAUAAUAGCGCGAGUCAGCCAUCAGAGCUGUGAAGUGACCCAGGAGCAGCCUGGCAGGAAGAAAGAACGUGGGAUCCAUGGGAAGUUCCUUACAAACACAGAGCCAGCGGAGGCCUUGGGGGGGCCCUUCAGUUCAUGGCAGCUUCAGGACAUGUUUUCCACCAGUUGAUUUUUUUCAAAGGCAGAUUAGCAAAGGAAACAAAUACUGAGUGAUGACUACAGAAUGUAUCUUUGGAACUUGCUAGACUAAUUACUGAGGCUCCAAAAUCACUUUAAAAGCAACACAUUUUGUUUUGCAAUAUACAUUCUUGUUGCCAAAUUUUUUUUUUCUAAUUUCAAUCAGAAUCUACCUCACCCUGGAGAGUUGACUGUGGCAGAACUGGAGCUUGGUGGAGAAUACUCUUAUUAAAACAUCAUUGUUCAAAGCA